RNAcentral lists this ribosomal RNA (591 nucleotides) under uncultured bacterium. RNAcentral's name for it is "bacterial SSU rRNA". It matches the Rfam family "Bacterial small subunit ribosomal RNA", at positions 8 to 589 of the family's 1533-position model. The record is from RNAcentral.
AGAGUUUGACCUGGCUCAGAUUGAACGCUGGCGGCAGGCCAAACACAUGCAAGUCGAGCGGUAACACAGGAGAGCUUGCUCUCUGGGUGACGAGCGGCGGACGGGUGAGUAAUGUCUGGGAAACUGCCUGAUGGAGGGGGAUAACUACUGGAAACGGUAGCUAAUACCGCAUGACCUCGCAAGAGCAAAGUGGGGGACCUUCGGGCCUCACGCCAUCGGAUGUGCCCAGAUGGGAUUAGCUAGUAGGUGGGGUAAUGGCUCACCUAGGCGACGAUCCCUAGCUGGUCUGAGAGGAUGACCAGCCACACUGGAACUGAGACACGGUCCAGACUCCUACGGGAGGCAGCAGUGGGGAAUAUUGCACAAUGGGCGCAAGCCUGAUGCAGCCAUGCCGCGUGUGUGAAGAAGGCCUUAGGGUUGUAAAGCACUUUCAGCGAGGAGGAAGGGUUGAGUGUUAAUAGCACUGAACAUUGACGUUACUCGCAGAAGAAGCACCGGCUAACUCCGUGCCAGCAGCCGCGGUAAUACGGAGGGUGCAAGCGUUAAUCGGAAUUACUGGGCGUAAAGCGCACGCAGGCGGUUUGUUAAGUC